AGUUCCCUAUUCAGAGAUGAAUGUAUUUUUAUAGGAACUAACACCUGAAGUUCCCUAUUCAGAGAUGAAUGUAUUUUUAUAGGAAUAGCCAGCUGAAAAUUAAGUUACAUAUCAGAUAGAUCAUACAAGAAAUAAGAAAAGCUUUCCACUCUCUCUUUCUUUUCAUCUUUAUCGACCAAAACGUCUUCGCUGCUACUCAAAAUUUGAUCCAAUUUAGCACCAGAGCAAAAGAGAUAAUGAAUGAUCCGCCCCACCACUAGUUUCCUACAACCUUAUCUUAGACAGUCAUCGAUUCAUGUUUGUCAGAGGCGAUACCUGGAACCUCCUCUAUCCAGAACUCAGAACACUGUCGUCUAAGACCCUCCUGGGCCAGCAAGUGAGCCACUUAAUUUGUUUCCCUCUUGUGCUGCAUGUAACAGCUCAACCUAAAUCCUGCUCCAAUUUGCUUUCCAUCUUUAAUCAGCGCGCUCACACAUGGUCUGUCCUCUCCAUCUCGAAAUCCCAGUUCUUCAGCAAAGCGUAGAGCUUGGACCGCUGCCAGCCCUUCUACCACAAAAUAAUCAGGUACAUGGUCAUUCACUUGAAACCACGCUGCCAAAAUCUCUCCUGUAUCUCGAAUGAUUAUUCCUGAACUGGACUUUUGUCUAUCUUUUUGAAAUGCUGCAUCGAAAUUGAUUUUGACGCACGGAUCCGCCGGUGGUUUCCAUGUUACUGACCGAGUUCUUAUUACAAGCGUUUGGUCCUGGCCAAUCAUAUGCAGUUCUGCUACAUGCGCUCUCACAAAGGAAACAACGACUCCAUAUAAUUGGGCCAAGAAAUACUCAAUUCCUCCCAUACAUUGCGAGUGAAACAACAAUUCCUCACUACAUGCACACUUGACUCAGGAGUCAGGACAUAGGUGGCAUCUUGGACAUAGCGGGCUUGAAGCAAUCCUUAGAUUGUAGAAGUUAUCCAUAAUCGGAAUAAAAUUCCUAAGAAGUCUCCAGCAAGUAAUCUUUAUUUUUGGUGGGAUUUGUAUUGCCCUUAAGGCCUUGUAAUUGAAAUUCAUACGCCGGUCCUGUAGAGUAGAAGCAAUAGGAUCAAAAUUAUCUGAUGCAAUCAACUUGUAGCCACUCCAUACCGAGUAGAUUCCAGUGUUUAUCCCCA
This is a long non-coding RNA of Gossypium arboreum, 1146 nucleotides long. RefSeq lists it as uncharacterized. Lineage: Eukaryota; Viridiplantae; Streptophyta; Magnoliopsida; Malvales; Malvaceae. The record is from RefSeq and is a predicted model, not a curated record. The transcript is spliced from 2 exons.